RNAcentral lists this transfer RNA (96 nucleotides) under Synergistaceae bacterium. Its description in RNAcentral is "tRNA-Ser". It matches the Rfam family "tRNA". Rfam says of the family: Transfer RNA (tRNA) molecules are approximately 80 nucleotides in length. Their secondary structure includes four short double-helical elements and three loops (D, anti-codon, and T loops). The record is from RNAcentral. Lineage: Bacteria; Thermotogati; Synergistota; Synergistia; Synergistales; Synergistaceae.
GGUGAGGUGGCCGAGCUAGGUUGAAGGCGCACGCCUGCUAAGUGUGUAGAGGAGCUAUAACUCUUCUCCAGGGUUCGAAUCCCUGCCUCACCGCCA